CCUACGGGGGGCUGCAGUGGGGAAUCUUGGACAAUGGGCGCAAGCCUGAUCCAGCCAUGCCGCGUGAGUGAAGAAGGCCUUAGGGUUGUAAAACUCUUUCGCCGGUGAAGAUAAUGACGGUAACCGGAGAAGAAGCCCCGGCUAACUUCGUGCCAGCAGCCGCGGUAAUACGAAGGGGGCUAGCGUUGUUCGGAAUUACUGGGCGUAAAGCGCACGUAGGCGGGUUUGUAAGUAGGGGGUGAAAUCCCAGGGCUCAACCCUGGAACUGCCUUCUAAACUGCAAGCCUGGAGGUCAGGAGAGGCGAGUGGAAUACCGAGUGUAGAGGUGAAAUUCGUAGAUAUUCGGUGGAACACCAGUGGCGAAGGCGACUCGCUGGACUGAUACUGACGCUGAGGUGCGAAAGCGUGGGGAGCAAACAGGAUUAGAUACCCCGGUAGUC
Molecule: ribosomal RNA, 440 nt
Filed under: uncultured Alphaproteobacteria bacterium
Lineage: Bacteria; Pseudomonadati; Pseudomonadota; Alphaproteobacteria
Description: bacterial SSU rRNA
Rfam family: Bacterial small subunit ribosomal RNA
Source: RNAcentral